This 222-nucleotide long non-coding RNA is filed under the name Vitis vinifera (wine grape). Its description in RNAcentral is "long non-coding RNA (VVIN_LNC004491)". Lineage: Eukaryota; Viridiplantae; Streptophyta; Magnoliopsida; Vitales; Vitaceae. The record is from RNAcentral.
GGGGUUAGUAUCAAAAGUAGAGAAGUCUAAGGGGAUGGGUUCUUCCACCAAAGGUAGAGAACCAGAAAUAUUUCCUUCUUCCACAAUAGGGGAGAAAGGAUGCUUAAGAACUGGAGGUUUAGGAUCAGAAGUAGAUUCCUGAGAUCCCGAAGCAAAAUCAUAAUACAAAGGUUUGAAUUUUUCUGAUAAGACUGAAUGAGGUUUCAUGUAAGAUGAUGAUUU